RNAcentral lists this non-coding RNA (30 nucleotides) under Rattus norvegicus (Norway rat). Lineage: Eukaryota; Metazoa; Chordata; Mammalia; Rodentia; Muridae. The record is from RNAcentral.
UACCUCAUGAAUUAAAAGAUUGCAAUUGUU